This 253-nucleotide ribosomal RNA is filed under the name uncultured bacterium. RNAcentral's name for it is "partial 16S ribosomal RNA". It matches the Rfam family "Bacterial small subunit ribosomal RNA", at positions 524 to 776 of the family's 1533-position model. The record is from RNAcentral.
UACAGAGGCCUCGAGCGUUAGGCGGAAUCACUGGGCUUAAAGCGUGUGUAGGCGGACUUCUAAGUACCUUGUGAAAUCCCACAGCUUAACUGUGGAACUGCUUGGUAUACUGGUUGUCUUGAGGUACCUAGGGGCGAGCGGAACAAGUGGUGGAGCGGUGAAAUGCGUAGAUAUCUGGAGGAACACCGGUGGCGAAGGCGGCAUCCUGGACCAACACUGACACUGAGGAGCGAAAGCCAGGGGAGCAAACGGG